GUGCUCACUUGAGCAACACAAAUACUAAAAUUUGAUUGAUACAGAGGUUAGCAUGGCCCCUGAACAAGGAUGACACAGAAAUUUGUGAUAUAUUCCAUAUGAUU
This is a small nuclear RNA of Camelus dromedarius (Arabian camel), 104 nucleotides long. Lineage: Eukaryota; Metazoa; Chordata; Mammalia; Artiodactyla; Camelidae. The record is from Ensembl.